RNAcentral lists this long non-coding RNA (284 nucleotides) under Homo sapiens (human). RNAcentral describes it as "HSALNT0369318". The record is from RNAcentral. Lineage: Eukaryota; Metazoa; Chordata; Mammalia; Primates; Hominidae.
GCCCUAUUCCAUCAUUACCAUGUUUCUCCUGGCCAUUUGUGGGCUGUCUUUUGAAAGACCAAUAGUCAUAGCCUUAAGGAGACCACUGUUGCUGAAAAGCCUUGUUUAUUGUGAGGAGGAGGGGAGAAACUGGGGUGAGAAACGUUGCUACCUGUUGCAGCAGCUACCUGAUCACCCAAGAGAUUUGCAUAAUUUCUUCCUCCCACUAUAUCCCAUUCCAGCAGCCAAUAUCUUAACAAAAGGGAAGCUAUUAUGGAAGAAAAUUUAAUAAAAAUAUUCUCUAG